Molecule: long non-coding RNA, 2004 nt
Organism: Homo sapiens (human)
Lineage: Eukaryota; Metazoa; Chordata; Mammalia; Primates; Hominidae
Source: Ensembl
GAGAGCUUCUGCUGGAGGACCAAUCCAUCCUCGUGGGCAUGGGAGAGUCCUGCUCAUUGGAUGAUGUGGCAAGAAAACUCUUGCCAGAUGCUGGCACCUUGAUGUUGGCACCAGCCUCCAAGACUCUGAUAAGAACUGGGAACUGCCUCUCUGCUCUGCUGGAGAGCACACGAGUGCUUUGAGGAGAGUUGACCAUCUUCAGUGCUUGCUGCAGAGUUGGAAUAAAUGCAUCCAGAAUUCCAACAUCUUUGUCCUGAAAGAGUAACUUCCCAAUUUUAAUCUGAAACGUAGUCUCCUGUAAGGUGCAGAAUCAUGCAAUUACAGUAGCACCCCCAAUGUGCCAAUAUUUAACAUUCCUUCCUCAAUCUAUAACAUACUUGUACCAUUUUUGUUCCUCGAUAUAAUGUUCAGCAUAUUGAGGCUACAAAUGUGAGCAUGCAGGUGUUCUUGUUCUGAGCAAACGGUACAUGGGGAUUAGGUUUGUUCUCUGCUGCCCUCAUUCAGUCUUCUAGUGUCUUCCAUUAUAUUUAGGGAUCUCUUUUAUAACUAAUAACAGAAUCCCAGUACCCAAUUCUCACCCUAGAUUACAUAUUUAAUUUUAUGUCUCUCUCUUGCAUUAAUUUAUACAUUGCAACUAUUUACGAAAAAGGGAGGGUCUAUAAACGAUGAGGUAGCUUUAGCAAACUCAAUGAAGGAGUGACAGUUGUAAUUUAACAGAAUCCUGAGUACAUUUUCUUUCUAAACCCUUCCUUUCCUUCACUUUCUCUUUCUUGCUUUCCUUUUCUUUCACUCUUUGUCUCUCCUUCCCUUUUGGAUGUGUUAAAAAGGAAUGCUACCCUGAAUAAAAGCAUUUUUGAGAUGCAAUUUUUAAUAUAUUUUUAAGAGCUGGCCAUUUCAAGAUUCCUCUUCUCACUAUGAUGGAGAUUUAGGUACAGCUAAUCCUUGGGUAUGUGCUUGCUUUUUGGUGCUUUAGAGAAAAAUUAGAAAAAUAGGGUCCAAGAAAGACUGCUUUUCAAAAGCUUGGCACUUCUGAAGUCUUCAAUGCAGAUUCUAUCUAGGGCAUCUUUAUCCCAAAUUGAGGAUUAACAUCAAUUUGUAGGAUGCCAAAGAUGAAAGAUAAUCCAGGCUUGAAUGAUGCCCUGAUGACUAGGGAGAGCAACAUCGUGUUCGCAUUUAUGGAAGUACAGAAAGUCUGUUUACUCAAUUUAAUAGCCAUUGCCAUUAUCUUGACAUGAAUUGUGUUCCAUGCUCAUAGAAGACUUUGAUAGCAAUGCUUCAGCAAAGAGGAAAGUCCGUUUCCUCUGCAUUGGCGAUGCUGAGUCCGUGCGCAUAGUGGACAGGACCCUUUCUCUCAAUUCUUGCUUGAGGCUCCCAGGCUCAGUCAGAUUCUAAAAACAUUUUUUGAAGGUCUUAUUUUCUAUUGACUAGUUACUUUAUAAUCAGAAAGGAACAACAAACAUAGAGCCCCAGUGAACACAGAUUUUUUUCAAGUGUAUUCCUCCUCCAGACUUUUAUUGUUGAACAGAUAGCUUUUUUUAACAAAAAUUACAAUCAUUAUACACUAUUGUGUGCAUACUGCCUUUGUUUUUUCUCUUUUAAAAUGAAAAUUCAUUCUUAUUGUAAAAAUGUUGCAUGCUACUGUAAUGUUAAAGAGUACACUAUGUAAUAAAGUACAAAGAAAAAAGUAAAAAUAAUCACCUAAGAUUGCACCACUUAGAGAAAAGUAUUUUCAAUGUUUUCAUGAACAUUUAAAAAGCCAUCUUAGACUAGAUGUGGUUGGGUUAUGGGAUGUGAGGGUUUUGAAAUGCGGUAAGAAUGGGCAAGAACUACUAUUAAGAUUUUCUCCAGUUAGGAAGCAGCAAGUAAACCACAUGUUCAGAAAAGAGGAGAAACUAUUUGGUAGCACAGCAGAGUGACUAUAGUCAAUGAUAACUUAAUUGUACAUUUUAAAAUAACUUAAAGAGUAAAAUUGGAUUGUUUGUAACUCAAAGAAUAAAUGCCUGA